GUUGACCUCGGAUCACGUAGG
This 21-nucleotide ribosomal RNA is filed under the name Cercospora cf. richardiicola MUCC 578. Its description in RNAcentral is "partial 28S ribosomal RNA". Lineage: Eukaryota; Fungi; Ascomycota; Dothideomycetes; Mycosphaerellales; Mycosphaerellaceae. The record is from RNAcentral.